AUCUGAAACAAUUUUAGACUAAACGUAAUAUUUAGCUAGUAAAACAGGAAAGAGAGACCCUGGCAUAACUUUAAGGCGAAACAAAAAUUGCUAACGGUUCGCCUUAAAGUAAUGUUUGGUCACGUGAUUAAAGGUCAAACCGUUUCGCGGGAAUCAACAUGGCGAACGAGAUGACACCCACGGCACCGGACUCGGUGCAAUGUCCGGUUUGUUUUAAAGACUUUAAGGCCGCCACAAUCAACGGACAUCUCGACGUCUGUCUGCAGAAGACGGUUAUCGACGGCAGCCCGUCGGCGAAAGACGAAAGCGAACCUCCUUUGAAGAAAUCUCGCAUUAGUGGGGAGGCUGCAACACCAACUGCCACUGUCAACAGACCUGUGGCCAGCUCCACCUCCUCCUUCUCCAUGGCUGGUACACCGUCAUCUUCGGUACUUUCGUUUUUUCAGCCCAACAAGAGCAAAGUUUCAGCUCAAAGCGAGUGUAGUGGGUCAAGUUCAGGUAAACAGACACCUGCCAGUAGGGGAUUAAAACGUAAUGUGCCGAGCGAGGCGGAACCAGGACCAGCAGGUCCAGAGAGCCAGGCCUCUGGAUCAGACCAACAGACUUUGAAGUCAUCCAAAGAUUUAUCUGCACGGACACUUCUGACGAUAAACAAGCCUCUGGCGGAAACACUGAGACCAAACACACUGGAGGAAUACUUCGGUCAAAAUAAAGUUGUGGGGCAGCACACACUCCUGCGGUCCCUCCUGGAAACCCAAGAAAUACCAUCCCUGAUCCUGUGGGGGCCGCCGGGAUGCGGGAAGACCACACUAGCUCACAUAAUUUCCAGCGGCAGUAAAAAGAAGGGAACGACUCGUUUUGUCACUUUGUCUGCCACCAGUGCGUCCACCAGUGACGUCAGGGAGGUGAUCAAGCAGGCGCAGAAUGAGCUCCGACUGUGCAAGAGGAAGACCAUCCUGUUCAUUGAUGAAAUUCAUCGCUUCAACAAAUCCCAACAGGACACCUUCCUUCCUCACGUGGAGUGCGGGACGGUAACUUUGAUCGGAGCAACCACAGAAAAUCCGUCCUUCCAGGUGAACGCUGCCCUGCUGAGCAGAUGCAGGGUGCUAGUUCUGGAGAAGCUCUCAGUGGAGGCAAUGGCUUCGAUCCUGGACAGGGCUCUGGCCACACUGGGGAUCAAAGUCCUGGAACGCGAUGCAGCGAAUUCCAAAGAUCAAGACCAGUCAGAUGAACAGGAGCCAAAGAUUUUCAUUGAACAAAAAGCUCUGGACACCAUUGCCUUCCUUUGUGAUGGUGACGCAAGGACAGGCCUCAACAGUCUGCAGCUGGCUGUUCAGGCUCAGGUGAGCUUGGCCCGGCCCAACCAGCUAGAUGGAUCUCAGGAAAUUUUGGUGAAGGAGGAGCACAUCAAGGAAGGCCUUCAGAGGUCCCACAUUCUCUAUGAUAAAGCUGGUGAAGAGCAUUACAACUGUAUCUCAGCAUUGCAUAAGUCGAUGAGAGGCUCAGAUGAGAAUGCGUCUCUGUACUGGCUCGGCCGCAUGCUGGAGGGCGGAGAGGAUCCUCUAUAUGUGGCUCGCAGAUUGGUCCGCUUUGCCAGCGAGGAUGUGGGUAUGGCAGAUCCCUCUGCUCUUCCUCAGGCCGUGUCCGCCUUCCAAGCCUGUCACUUCAUCGGCAUGCCUGAGUGUGAGGUGAUCCUGGCUCAGUGUGCGGUCUAUCUGGCACGAGCACCCAAGUCUGUGGCCAUCUACAAGGCGUAUGCUAAUGUAAAGGCCAGUUUGAGGAACCACAAAGGCCCCCUGCCUUCUGUCCCUCUGCACCUUCGCAACGCCCCCACUCGGCUGAUGAAACAACUCGGCUACGCUAAGGGCUACAAAUACAACCCAGCCUUCAACGGCCCUGUAGAGCAGCAAUACUUACCAGAGGAGCUGCAGGGAAUCGACUUCUUCACCUGGACACCUACAGAACCAUGAUGAUCUGCUGUAAAGACUGACACGGCUCGCUGUAGGUUAAAAACCAAACCGAAUGGAUGAAAGCAUUUAUGGGAUUAUGGCAGUUCGUGUGGUUCUCCUCACCUCACUGAUCCAGGGGAUGAAAGUGGCCACACGGGUGAAGACAGUUGGCUUCUGAGGGGUGUUACAGCCUCGUCCGUCCACAAAACUAGUCACUCCCUGUACGUACCACUUACCAUCUGUGCCCUUACAGUUCAGAGGGCCUCCGGAGUCGCCCUGGAAGAUAAUGGCAGACAUUAGAGCAAAAUAAAAUGUUUUUUUGCUUCAAGCAAAGAAUGGA
This is an RNA transcript of Acanthopagrus latus (yellowfin seabream), 2289 nucleotides long. It is a transcript of the gene named WRN helicase interacting protein 1, with no coding region annotated. Lineage: Eukaryota; Metazoa; Chordata; Actinopteri; Spariformes; Sparidae. The transcript has 8 exons. The record is from RefSeq and is a predicted model, not a curated record.